This 403-nucleotide ribosomal RNA is filed under the name uncultured bacterium. RNAcentral's name for it is "bacterial SSU rRNA". It matches the Rfam family "Bacterial small subunit ribosomal RNA", at positions 393 to 787 of the family's 1533-position model. The record is from RNAcentral.
GACGCCGUGUGAGGGAUGAAGGCUUUCGGGUCGUAAACCUCUGUCAGGAGGGAAGAACCGCAUGGGGAUGAACAAGCCCUGUGCCUGACGGUACCUCCAAAGGAAGCACCGGCUAACUCCGUGCCAGCAGCCGCGGUAAUACGGAGGGUGCAAGCGUUAUUCGGAAUUACUGGGCGUAAAGCGUGCGUAGGCGGCUUGGUAAGUCAGGUGUGAAAGCCCUCGGCUCAACCGAGGAACUGCAUUUGAUACUGCCAGGCUAGAGUGUGGGAGAGGGCAGCGGAAUUCCCGGUGUAGGAGUGAUAUCCGUAGAUAUCGGGAGGAACACCAGUGGCGAAGGCGGCUGCCUGGACCACAACUGACGCUGAGGCACGAAAGCGUGGGUAGCAAACAGGAUUAGAUACCC